This 270-nucleotide ribosomal RNA is filed under the name uncultured bacterium. Its description in RNAcentral is "partial 16S ribosomal RNA". The record is from RNAcentral.
CUGCUGCCUCCCGUAGGAGUCUGGUCCGUGUCUCAGUACCAGUGUGGGGGACCUUCCUCUCAGAACCCCUACGCAUCGUCGCCUCGGUGGGCCGUUACCCCGCCGACUAGCUAAUGCGCCGCAUGCCCAUCCCCCGCCGGAAUCGCUUCCUUUGGCCGCAGACCCAUGCAGGUCCGCGGCGUUACGCGGUAUUAGUCGGGAUUUCUCCCGGUUAUCCCCCUGCGGGGGGCAGGUCGCAUACGCGUUACUCACCCGUGCGCCGGUCGCCGG